Molecule: ribosomal RNA, 887 nt
Filed under: Alcaligenes faecalis
Lineage: Bacteria; Pseudomonadati; Pseudomonadota; Betaproteobacteria; Burkholderiales; Alcaligenaceae
Description: bacterial SSU rRNA
Rfam family: Bacterial small subunit ribosomal RNA
Source: RNAcentral
UACUGCUGACGGUAUCUGCAGAAUAAGCACCGGCUAACUACGUGCCAGCAGCCGCGGUAAUACGUAGGGUGCCAGCGUUAAUCGGAAUUACUGGGCGUAAAGCGUGUGUAGGCGGUUCGGAAAGAAAGAUGUGAAAUCCCAGGGCUCAACCUUGGAAACUGCAUUUUUAACUGCCGAGCUAGAGUAUGUCAGAGGGGGGUAGAAUUCCACGUGUAGCAGUGAAAUGCGUAGAUAUGUGGAGGAAUACCGAUGGCGAAGGCAGCCCCCUGGGAUAAUACUGACGCUCAGACACGAAAGCGUGGGGAGCAAACAGGAUUAGAUACCCUGGUAGUCCACGCCCUAAACGAUGUCAACUAGCUGUUGGGGCCGUUAGGCCUUAGUAGCGCAGCUAACGCGUGAAGUUGACCGCCUGGGGAGUACGGUCGCAAGAUUAAAACUCAAAGGAAUUGACGGGGACCCGCACAAGCGGUGGAUGAUGUGGAUUAAUUCGAUGCCACGCGAAAAACGUUACCUACCCUUGACAUGUCUGGAAAGCCGAAGAGAUUUGGCCGUGCUCGCAAGAGAACCGGAACACAGGUGCUGCAUGGCUGUCGUCAGCUCGUGUCGUGAGAUGUUGGGUUAAGUCCCGCAACGAGCGCAACCCUUGUCAUUAGUUGCUACGCAAGAGCACUCUAAUGAGACUGCCGGUGACAAACCGGAGGAAGGUGGGGAUGACGUCAAGUCCUCAUGGCCCUUAUGGGUAGGGCUUCACACGUCAUACAAUGGUCGGGACAGAGGGUCGCCAACCCGCGAGGGGGAGCCAAUCUCAGAAACCCGAUCGUAGUCCGGAUCGCAGUCUGCAACUCGACUGCGUGAAGUCGGAAUCGCUAGUAAUCGCGGAUCAGAAU